Non-coding RNA from Danio rerio (zebrafish), 2720 nucleotides. Ensembl annotates it as iodothyronine deiodinase 3b. Its record names the gene dio3b. NCBI's taxonomy places the organism in Eukaryota, Metazoa, Chordata, Actinopteri, Cypriniformes, Danionidae. The record is from Ensembl.
ACUGAGCCAAGAAGAAAAUUAAUGAAUGAAUGAAUUAAAAACAACAUUUCACAGUCAACAUUUUAGGAUUCAUUUAUAACAAUUCAGAAUUUGCUCUCCCUCUCUUUGCACACACACACGCACGCACGCACGCACGCACGCACAAAAUUAAUGAUAAAAGUAGAAAAUUUAAUUAAAGUGAUGAUAAUAUUUAAAUAAUAAGAAAAUAAAUACAUGUUUCUCUCUCGUUUCGCAAACACACACACUCUCGCGCUCUCCCUCUCGCACAAACACACACACACACUCUCUCCCUGCACAUAGACACACUCAGUCUCUCUCGACAAACACACACCUUCUCUCCACACAGACACACACACUCACAGUCUCUCCCAUUCUCUUUUACUCCAAACACACACUCCCUCUCCCUGCACACACACAAACACACUCUCCUUGAACAGACAGUUCAUAGACACACGCUCACUCUCCGUCUUUCUCUAAACACACACCUCUCCACACAGAUACGCAAAUUCACUCUUCGCCUUUCUCCAAACACACACACACUCCAUCUCUUACUCAACACAUAUUCUCUCUAUAUGUCUCUCUCCACACACACUCUCUUUCUCUAUAUCUGUCACACACACACUCACACUCCACACGCUCCAUCUCUCUCUCUCUCUCUUUGCACACACACUCUCCGUCUCUCCCUGUGCAGACUUUCUACACACUUUCUCUAUCUCGAUCUCUCUCCAAGCACGGACACACUCUUUCGCUAUCUCCAUCUCUCUCCACAUACACACACUCUCUCUCUAUCUCUCUCUCUCUCACACACACACACACACACACACACACACACACACACAGAGAGAGAGAGAGAGGGGAGAAAGAGAGACAGGAGAGUUGACGGGAGGUAAUCCCUCCAUGUGAGGAGGCGGCCCGGCCGGCGGUGGAGGCGUGUUGCUCCUCAUUCAAAUCCUUACUAGAGCUAUAAAAGCGAGAGACUGCGCUGGAGAAGAGAGAGAGAAACACACACACAGAGAGAGACAGAGAGAGAGCAGCAGAGCGCGCGUGUGUGUGUGUGAGAGAGAGUGUGUGUGUGCGCCAGUACCUGUGCGCGCGCGGGAUGGAGAUGCUGCAGGGCUCCGCAGGUGUGCAGUCUGCGCUGAAGAACGCGGCGGUGUGUGUGCUGCUGCUCCCGCGCUUUCUGCUCGCCGCGCUGAUGCUCUGCCUGCUGGACUUCCUGUGCAUCCGCCGGAAGCUGCUGCUGAAGAUGCAGGAGGGCGCGUUCAGCAGCCCCGACGACCCUCCGCUGCGCGUGUCCGACAGCAACAAGAUGUUCACGCUGGAGUCGCUGCGCGCGGUCUGGUACGGCCAGAAGCUGGACUUCUUCAAGAGCGCGCGGCUCGGCGGAGCGGCGCCCAACACCGAGGUGUUCCCGCUGGACGGAGACGCGCGCGCGGCAGAGCGCAUCCUGGAUUACGCGCGCGGCCGGAGACCGCUGAUCCUCAACUUCGGCAGCUGCUCCUGACCGCCCUUCAUGACCCGUCUGAGCGCCUUCCAGCGCGUCGCGCGGCAGUACGCGGACAUCGCGGACUCUCUGCUGGUGUACAUCGAGGAGGCGCACCCGUCCGACGGCUGGGUGAGCUCCGACGCGCCCGUGCAGAUCCCGCGGCACCGCUGCCUGGAGGACCGGCUCCGCGCCGCGCAGAUGCUGCACCGGGAGGCGGCGGGCAGCGCGGUGGUCGUGGACUCCAUGCAGAACUCCUGCAACGCGGCGUACGGCGCGUAUUUCGAGCGGCUGUACAUCGUAAAGGACGCGACGGUGGUGUACCAAGGCGGCCGCGGACCCGAGGGGUACCGGAUCGCGGAGCUCAGAGACUGGCUGGAGCGCUACAGGAGCGGCCUGCAGGAGUCCGCGGUGCUGCACGUCUAGGAGACCCAUACACUGAGUGAUUGAGUGAUUGAUUGAGUGAGUGAGUGAUUAAUUGAUUGAGUGUUUUACUUCUCCUCAUCAUUGGCUGUGUUUCAAAACCGACAGACGCUUUUUCCUCUCUUCAUGGAGAUCUCGGAGCUGUUUCUUCACAAGUUUCAAUGGUGCGUCGAGAAUGGUGGCUGGUUAGAGCGGCAGAAAUCAGCUGCGUCUGAUGAACAGCAAUGCUUCUGGGUUCUCAAACUCUCCUAAAACAGGGUUCACGAGCGCCAUGGCUCAGUGGAGAAGCUCCUGAAAAGGAGGUUUUGAACACAGCCUUGAUCAGAUCAGAUCUUCAUAUGCUGCUACAGACUGCGUUUAUUUUGAUGCAUAAACAGUUAUCUGGACAGAUGUUUACGUGACCGCAUGAUAGCUGUUGUGCUUUUUCUCCUCUCUAUUCCUGUUUUAUGUCCAAACAACCUGGCAUUUCAUUUCAGAAUACUGCAAAAGAAGAAAAGAUAUAUCUGUGUAUCAAUCGGAGACAUAUCCUAUUUUAUUUUUGUAUGGUACUCUUCCUUUGUGAACGUGUGUGUGUGUGUGUGUGUGUGUGUGUGUAUGUGUGCGGCCAGGAGGCUGUUUCAUUGUACUCUGGAGUUAUUGUGAAGAUCGGUUUUUAAAAGGAUUUUAACCAGAAAACCGAUACUGAUGUAAUUUGACACUAGAGUACAGGACAGAGGAACGGCCUCCAGACGUGUUGCCAAAUGUUGUUGUUUUUUUGUAAAUGGUGUAUAUUUUAUUCAACACUUUUUAUAAAUAAAUGGUAGAGCACCCUCGA